This is a long non-coding RNA of Oncorhynchus nerka (sockeye salmon), 1241 nucleotides long. RefSeq lists it as uncharacterized. The record is from RefSeq and is a predicted model, not a curated record. The transcript is spliced from 2 exons. Lineage: Eukaryota; Metazoa; Chordata; Actinopteri; Salmoniformes; Salmonidae.
ACGCGCCACACAGGCGGAAAGGCGGGAGACCGUCGCUUCCGCGUAUGUCAAGAAGUCAAGAUGGACGAAAAGUUGAUAUUGUCUGUUUUUAAUUUUCCUGAGCUGUAUAAUACAACUUUGCCAGAUUACCGCAAUGGUGACACAAGAUCACUUGCUUGGGGGAAAAUAAGCUCAUUGACAGCUCUUCCAGCUGAAGAGUGCAAAAGGAAAUGGAAGAAUCUGAGAGACCGAUACUUCAAGGAAGUAAGACAGGAGAAGAGGAGUAAGGAGGAGACAGGGGAGCUCGCUCCAAGCCGAUGGAAAUACAGACAACGUCUGAUCUUUCUUCAACCAUACAUUAAACCAAGAAACAGCAAUGUGGCCCCUGCCAACCUGGAAAGCCCUGAUACAAUCAAUAAAAGCGCACAGAGUGAAAUAAUACCUGUCAAAACACUCAACACAGCCCUGGUGAACGACAUGAAAACCCCUAGCACCCAGGUUGGCACCAUGUCACAGCUAGCUUUUGUGACCCAGCUGUCCCCAGGGCAACAAAGCGCCCAACUGUCUUUUCUGGGCAAGUGUCCACCAGGCGCCCAGACGUCCCCAGCACCCCAGACAUCCGCAGUGCUCCAGUCAUCAAUUUACGCAACCAAGGAGAGGCCUCAGACAAGACAACCUGCUUCACCAUGUUCCUCAAGCACUCCCUCUAAGCGCUCCGCUAAGAACAGGAUGCUGCUGGCCAAAGAGAAAGAUCACAGAUCAGAUUCCACGAUCCCUAUCUGGCAGUGUGACGAGGAUGAGAUGUUACUCCUCAGCUUCGUUCCUGCUUUGAAGAGGCUAACCCCACAAAAAAGAUGUGAGACCAAAAUUAAGAUCCAACAGAUUAUGUAUGAGGCCGAGUUUAGUAUGGAUCAGCCAGUGACUGUCAAUGAACCACCGGUGACGGUGUCCAAAGAACUGCCAGAUCAAGAGACGUCAUAACUCAUUCAUAUUGUAGGGUUGUUCUCAGGUUUAUAUGUUUUUUUAUUUUGACCGAAACAAUCUUUUUCUAAAAUAUAUAUUUUUAAAUCUCUCUCCUAAUGCACAUGAAUAGGCAAGUUAUUCAUGUUCUGUUUUUGGAAUAUCACAUUUUUGGUGGUAUCAUAGAGAGGUGCAAAAAAAUAACUUUUUACAUUUUUAUAGAUGAUCUUCUGAUUUUGCUGUUGUGAAUGCAAGUUCUUAACCCAAUUGAAAAUAAAAAUGGGCUGUUAUUCUGUUUCUAA